Molecule: ribosomal RNA, 1613 nt
Filed under: metagenome
Description: bacterial LSU rRNA
Rfam family: Bacterial large subunit ribosomal RNA
Source: RNAcentral
CCACGGGGCUCAAACCAUGCACCGAAGCUUAGGGUUUACACGCAAGUGUAAGCGGUAGCGGAGCGUUCCGUAAGCCUGUGAAGGGAGACUCGUGAGAGCUCCUGGAGGUAUCGGAAGUGCGAAUGAUGACAUGAGUAGCGACAAAGAGUGUGAGAGACACUCUCGCCGAAAGUCCAAGGGUUCCUGCGCAAUGCUAAUCAGCGCAGGGUUAGCCGGCCCCUAAGUCGAGGCAGAAAUGCGUAGACGAUGGGAACCACGUUAAUAUUCGUGGGCCUGGUGGUAGUGACGGAUCUCGCAGGUCUGUAUGUCCUUAUCGGAUUGGAUGUGCAGUGAGCAGGUUCCAGGAAAUAGCUCCACCGACAUAGACCGUACCCUAAACCGACACAGGUGGACUGGUAGAGCAUACCAAGGCGCUUGAGAGAACUAUGCUGAAGGAACUCGGCAAAUUGCAUGCGUAACUUCGGGAUAAGCAUGACUGUUCAUUGGGCAACCAGUGAGCAGUGGCACAAAAUUGGGGGUGGCGACUGUUUACUAAAAACACAGGGCUCUGCGAAGUUGCAAAACGACGUAUAGGGUCUGACGCCUGCCCGGUGCCGGAAGGUUAAAAGGAGAGGUGCAAGCCUUGAAUUGAAGCCCCGGUAAACGGCGGCCGUAACAAUAACGGUCCUAAGGUAGCGAAAUUCCUUGUCGGGUAAGUUCCGACCUGCACGAAUGGCGUAACGAUCUCCCCACUGUCUCCAGCAUAGACUCAGCGAAAUUGAUUUCCCCGUGAAGAUGCGGGGUUCCUGCGGUCAGACGGAAAGACCCCAUGAACCUUUACUAUAGCUUUGCGCUGGCACUUGUGUCGGCAUGUGCAGGAUAGGUGGUAGGCUUUGAAGCUUGGACGCUAGUUCGAGUGGAGCCGCAAGAUGAGAUACCACCCUUAUCAACAUAGGUGUCUAACCGCGAUGUAACAGCAUUCGGGACAGCGCAUGGUGGGUAGUUUGACUGGGGCGGUCGCCUCCCAAAGAGUAACGGAGGCGCGCGAUGGUGGGCUCAGGACGGUCGGAAAUCGUCCGCUGAGUGCAAUGGCAUAAGCCUGCCUGACUGCGAGACUGACAAGUCGAGCAGAGUCGAAAGACGGUCAUAGUGAUCCGGUGGUCCCGCGUGGAAGGGCCAUCGCUCAACGAAUAAAAGGUACUCUGGGGAUAACAGGCUGAUACUGCCCAAGAGUCCAUAUCGACGGCAGUGUUUGGCACCUCGAUGUCGGCUCAUCACAUCCUGGGGCUGGAGCAGGUCCCAAGGGUAUGGCUGUUCGCCAUUUAAAGUGGUACGUGAGCUGGGUUUAAAACGUCGUGAGACAGUUUGGUCCCUAUCUGCCGUGGGUGUUGGAAUGUUGAGGAGAGCUGCCCCUAGUACGAGAGGACCGGGGUGGACGAAUCUCUGGUGGACCUGUUGUGGCGCCAGCCGCAUUGCAGGGUAGCUAUAUUCGGACGGGAUAACUGCUGAAAGCAUCUAAGCAGGAAGCCUCCUCCAAAACGAGCAUUCCCUUGAGAGCCGUGGAAGACCACCACGUUGAUAGGCCGGAUGUGGAAGCCCCGCGAGGGGUGAAGCUGACCGGUACUAAUAGCUCA